Molecule: ribosomal RNA, 402 nt
Filed under: Fowlea piscator (Checkered keelback)
Lineage: Eukaryota; Metazoa; Chordata; Lepidosauria; Squamata; Natricidae
Description: partial small subunit ribosomal RNA
Source: RNAcentral
CUAAAUACAUCAAUUACGAAUUGUUCGCCAAAUAACUACGAGUAAGAACUUAAAAUUUAAAAGACUUGACGGUACUUCACACCACCCUAGAGGAGCCUGUCCAAUAACCGAUACCCCACGAUUAACCCAACCCGCUCUAGCCCCCCAGUCUAUAUACCGCCAUCGCCAGCUCACCUUAUGAAAGAAACAAAGCGAGCCAAAAAGCACUCUUACCCGCUAACACGAUAGGUCGAGGUGUAACUAAUGAGCGGGGACAAGAUGGGCUACAUUUUCUACGAGCAGAAAACACGAAUAAUAAUACGAAAGUAUAAACCGAAGGUGGAUUUAGCAGUAUGCUAAGGACAAAAUACUUAACCGAAACAAACGCAAUGAAGUGCGUACACACCGCCCGGUCACCCUCCA